CCUACGGGGGGCGGCAGUGAGGAAUAUUGGUCAAUGGGCGCAAGCCUGAACCAGCCAUCCCGCGUGCAGGAAGACGGCGCUAUGCGUUGUAAACUGCUUUUCCAGGGAGAGAAACUUGCGCACGUGUUGCGCAAUUGACGGUACCCUGGGAAUACGCAUCGGCUAACUCCGUGCCAGCAGCCCCGGUC
RNAcentral lists this ribosomal RNA (188 nucleotides) under uncultured bacterium. RNAcentral describes it as "partial 16S rRNA". It matches the Rfam family "Bacterial small subunit ribosomal RNA", at positions 338 to 522 of the family's 1533-position model. The record is from RNAcentral.